Molecule: ribosomal RNA, 261 nt
Filed under: uncultured bacterium
Lineage: Bacteria
Description: partial 16S ribosomal RNA
Rfam family: Bacterial small subunit ribosomal RNA
Source: RNAcentral
AACAGAGGGGGCGAGCAUUAUUUUUGUUGACUGGGCGUAAAGGAUGUGUAGGCGGAAAGUAUACAAAAAGCUUGAUCGGAAUGUCUACGUAUUGACGUAGUCCUAAUCUCGCAAAAGACUUUCUAUUGAGGUAUGUAUAAGUGAUUCGGAAAACAGUUUGUGGGCAUUCGCCUAUACAAUAUACUUGGUACCACCAACGGCGAAAGCAAAAUUCUAGACAUAACCUGACGCUGAAACAUGAAGCCGUGGGGCGCAAAAGGG